Molecule: ribosomal RNA, 377 nt
Filed under: uncultured bacterium
Lineage: Bacteria
Description: bacterial SSU rRNA
Rfam family: Bacterial small subunit ribosomal RNA
Source: RNAcentral
UAACACGAACCGUCCAAACGUUAUUCGGAAUUAUUGGGCUUAAAGGGUGCGUAGGCGGCGCUUUAAGUCGGGUGUGAAAUCCUUCGGCUCAACCGAAGAAUUGCGCCCGAUACUGGAGUGCUAGAGGGAGACAGGGGUGAGCGGAACUGAUGGUGGAGCGGUGAAAUGCGUUGAUAUCAUCAGGAACACCGGUGGCGAAAGCGGCUCACUGGGUCUCUUCUGACGCUGAGGCACGAAAGCCAGGGUAGCGAACGGGAUUAGAUACCCCGGUAGUCCUGGCCGUAAACGAUGAGCACUGGAUCGAGGACUCCCCCAUAGGUUCUCGGUCGUAGCGAAAGUGUUAAGUGCUCCGCCUGGGGAGUAUGGUCGCAAGGCUG